RNAcentral lists this unclassified non-coding RNA (344 nucleotides) under soil metagenome. RNAcentral's name for it is "partial contains 5.8S ribosomal RNA, internal transcribed spacer 2, and large subunit ribosomal RNA". The stretch from base 1 to 120 matches the Rfam family "5.8S ribosomal RNA", at positions 35 to 154 of the family's 154-position model. The record is from RNAcentral.
GAUGAAGAACGUAGCGAAAUGCGAUAAGUAGUGUGAAUUGCAGAAUUCAGUGAAUCAUCGAAUCUUUGAACGCACAUUGCGCCCUUUGGUAUUCCUUAGGGCAUGCCUGUUCGAGCGUCAUUUCAACCCUCAAGCCCUGCUUGGUGUUGGGCGUUUGUCCUGCCUCCGCGCGGGACUCGCCUCAAAGACAUUGGCGGCCGGUUUCCCUUUGCAGGCCACGAGCGCAGCACAGCGAGCGCUCUACGUGGACGCGGGGUCGGCGCACCAGAAGCCCUCUUUCUCGAAUUUUGACCUCGGAUCAGGUAGGGAUACCCGCUGAACUUAAGCAUAUCAAUAAGCGGGGA